This 1557-nucleotide ribosomal RNA is filed under the name Staphylococcus aureus. RNAcentral's name for it is "16S ribosomal RNA". It matches the Rfam family "Bacterial small subunit ribosomal RNA". Lineage: Bacteria; Bacillati; Bacillota; Bacilli; Caryophanales; Staphylococcaceae. The record is from RNAcentral.
UUUUAUGGAGAGUUUGAUCCUGGCUCAGGAUGAACGCUGGCGGCGUGCCUAAUACAUGCAAGUCGAGCGAACGGACGAGAAGCUUGCUUCUCUGAUGUUAGCGGCGGACGGGUGAGUAACACGUGGAUAACCUACCUAUAAGACUGGGAUAACUUCGGGAAACCGGAGCUAAUACCGGAUAAUAUUUUGAACCGCAUGGUUCAAAAGUGAAAGACGGUCUUGCUGUCACUUAUAGAUGGAUCCGCGCUGCAUUAGCUAGUUGGUAAGGUAACGGCUUACCAAGGCAACGAUGCAUAGCCGACCUGAGAGGGUGAUCGGCCACACUGGAACUGAGACACGGUCCAGACUCCUACGGGAGGCAGCAGUAGGGAAUCUUCCGCAAUGGGCGAAAGCCUGACGGAGCAACGCCGCGUGAGUGAUGAAGGUCUUCGGAUCGUAAAACUCUGUUAUUAGGGAAGAACAUAUGUGUAAGUAACUGUGCACAUCUUGACGGUACCUAAUCAGAAAGCCACGGCUAACUACGUGCCAGCAGCCGCGGUAAUACGUAGGUGGCAAGCGUUAUCCGGAAUUAUUGGGCGUAAAGCGCGCGUAGGCGGUUUUUUAAGUCUGAUGUGAAAGCCCACGGCUCAACCGUGGAGGGUCAUUGGAAACUGGAAAACUUGAGUGCAGAAGAGGAAAGUGGAAUUCCAUGUGUAGCGGUGAAAUGCGCAGAGAUAUGGAGGAACACCAGUGGCGAAGGCGACUUUCUGGUCUGUAACUGACGCUGAUGUGCGAAAGCGUGGGGAUCAAACAGGAUUAGAUACCCUGGUAGUCCACGCCGUAAACGAUGAGUGCUAAGUGUUAGGGGGUUUCCGCCCCUUAGUGCUGCAGCUAACGCAUUAAGCACUCCGCCUGGGGAGUACGACCGCAAGGUUGAAACUCAAAGGAAUUGACGGGGACCCGCACAAGCGGUGGAGCAUGUGGUUUAAUUCGAAGCAACGCGAAGAACCUUACCAAAUCUUGACAUCCUUUGACAACUCUAGAGAUAGAGCUUUCCCCUUCGGGGGACAAAGUGACAGGUGGUGCAUGGUUGUCGUCAGCUCGUGUCGUGAGAUGUUGGGUUAAGUCCCGCAACGAGCGCAACCCUUAAGCUUAGUUGCCAUCAUUAAGUUGGGCACUCUAAGUUGACUGCCGGUGACAAACCGGAGGAAGGUGGGGAUGACGUCAAAUCAUCAUGCCCCUUAUGAUUUGGGCUACACACGUGCUACAAUGGACAAUACAAAGGGCAGCGAAACCGCGAGGUCAAGCAAAUCCCAUAAAGUUGUUCUCAGUUCGGAUUGUAGUCUGCAACUCGACUAUAUGAAGCUGGAAUCGCUAGUAAUCGUAGAUCAGCAUGCUACGGUGAAUACGUUCCCGGGUCUUGUACACACCGCCCGUCACACCACGAGAGUUUGUAACACCCGAAGCCGGUGGAGUAACCUUUUAGGAGCUAGCCGUCGAAGGUGGGACAAAUGAUUGGGGUGAAGUCGUAACAAGGUAGCCGUAUCGGAAGGUGCGGCUGGAUCACCUCCUUUCUAA